This 274-nucleotide ribosomal RNA is filed under the name uncultured bacterium. Its description in RNAcentral is "partial 16S ribosomal RNA". It matches the Rfam family "Bacterial small subunit ribosomal RNA", at positions 308 to 605 of the family's 1533-position model. The record is from RNAcentral.
CCACACUGGGACUGAGACACGGCCCAGACUCCUACGGGGGGCAGCAGUGGGGAAUCUUGCACAAUGGGCGAAAGCCUGAUGCAGCAACGCCGCGUGAGGGACGAAGGCUUUCUGAGUUGUAAACCUCUUUCAGCAGGGACGAUUAUGACGGUACCUGCAGAAGAAGCCCCGGCCAACUACGUGCCAGCAGCCGCGGUAAUACGUAGGGGGCAAGCGUUGUCCGGAUUUAUUGGGCGUAAAGAGCUCGUAAGGCAAGUCGGAUGUGAAACCUCCA